RNAcentral lists this ribosomal RNA (693 nucleotides) under uncultured bacterium. RNAcentral describes it as "bacterial SSU rRNA". It matches the Rfam family "Bacterial small subunit ribosomal RNA", at positions 32 to 715 of the family's 1533-position model. The record is from RNAcentral.
AACGCUAGCUACAGGCUUAACACAUGCAAGUCGAGGGGCAGCAUGAACUUAGCUUGCUAAGUUUGAUGGCGACCGGCGCACGGGUGAGUAACACGUAUCCAACCUGCCGAUGACUCGGGGAUAGCCUUUCGAAAGAAAGAUUAAUACCCGAUGGCAUAGUUCUUCCGCAUGGUAGAACUAUUAAAGAAUUUCGGUCAUCGAUGGGGAUGCGUUCCAUUAGGUUGUUGGCGGGGUAACGGCCCACCAAGCCUUCGAUGGAUAGGGGUUCUGAGAGGAAGGUCCCCCACAUUGGAACUGAGACACGGUCCAAACUCCUACGGGAGGCAGCAGUGAGGAAUAUUGGUCAAUGGACGAGAGUCUGAACCAGCCAAGUAGCGUGAAGGAUGACUGCCCUAUGGGUUGUAAACUUCUUUUAUACGGGAAUAAAGUGAGGCACGUGUGCCUUUUUGUAUGUACCGUAUGAAUAAGGAUCGGCUAACUCCGUGCCAGCAGCCGCGGUAAUACGGGGGAUCCGAGCGUUAUCCGGAUUUAUUGGGUUUAAAGGGAGCGUAGGCGGACGCUUAAGUCAGUUGUGAAAGUUUGCGGCUCAACCGUAAAAUUGCAGUUGAUACUGGGUGUCUUGAGUACAGUAGAGGCAGGCGGAAUUCGUGGUGUAGCGGUGAAAUGCUUAGAUAUCACGAAGAACUCCGAUUG